CGCAGCCGCGGUAAUUCCAGCUCCAAUAGCGUAUAUUAAAGUUGUUGCAGUUAAAAAGCUCGUAGUUGAAUUUCGGGGUCAGUGAGUUGGUCGUGCCACUGGUAUGCACUGGCUUUACUGAUUCCUCCUUCUUGAAGAACUGUAAUGCUAUUAAUUUAGUGUUGCAGGGAAACAGGACUGUUACUUUGAAAAAAUUAGAGUGUUUAAAGCAGGCUAACGCUUGAAUACAUUAGCAUGGAAUAAUGAAAUAGGACGAUCGAUCCUAUUUUGUUGGUUUCUAGGAUUGACGUAAUGAUUAAUAGGGAUAGUUGGGGGCAUUAGUAUUCAAUUGUCAGAGGUGAAAUUCUUGGAUUUAUUGAAGACUAACUACUGCGAAAGCAUUUGCCAAGGAUGUUUUCAUUAAUCAAGAACGAAAGUUAGGGGAUCGAAGACGAUCAGAUACCGUCGUAG
RNAcentral lists this ribosomal RNA (450 nucleotides) under uncultured Glomeromycotina. Its description in RNAcentral is "SSU rRNA". It matches the Rfam family "Eukaryotic small subunit ribosomal RNA", at positions 569 to 1023 of the family's 1831-position model. Lineage: Eukaryota; Fungi; Glomeromycota. The record is from RNAcentral.